RNAcentral lists this non-coding RNA (145 nucleotides) under Cercocebus atys (sooty mangabey). Lineage: Eukaryota; Metazoa; Chordata; Mammalia; Primates; Cercopithecidae. RNAcentral also lists the same sequence under 1 other name. The record is from Rfam by way of RNAcentral.
GCCGGGUGUGGUGGUGCACACCUGUAAUCCCAGCUACUUGGGAGGCUGAAGCAGGAGAAUCACUUGAACCCAGGCAGAGUUUGCAGUGAGUCGAGAUCAUGCCACUGCACUCUAGCCUGGGUAAAAGAGUGAGACUCCGUCUCAA